This 430-nucleotide ribosomal RNA is filed under the name uncultured bacterium. RNAcentral describes it as "partial 16S ribosomal RNA". It matches the Rfam family "Bacterial small subunit ribosomal RNA", at positions 29 to 507 of the family's 1533-position model. The record is from RNAcentral.
ACGAACGCUGGCGGCAGGCUUAACACAUGCAAGUCGCACGCCCCGCAAGGGGAGUGGCAGACGGGUGAGUAACGCGUGGGAACAUACCCUUUUCUACGGAAUAGCUCUGGGAAACUGGAAUUAAUACCGUAUACGCCCUACGGGGGAAAGAUUUAUCGGGGAAGGAUUGGCCCGCGUUGGAUUAGCUAGUUGGUGGGGUAAAGGCCUACCAAGGCGACGAUCCAUAGCUGGUCUGAGAGGAUGAUCAGCCACAUUGGGACUGAGACACGGCCCAAACUCCUACGGGAGGCAGCAGUGGGGAAUAUUGGACAAUGGGCGCAAGCCUGAUCCAGCCAUGCCGCGUGAGUGAUGAAGGCCUUAGGGUUGUAAAGCUCUUUCACCGAUGAAGAUAAUGACGGUAGUCGGAGAAGAAGCCCCGGCUAACUUCGUG